Molecule: long non-coding RNA, 715 nt
Organism: Manis javanica (Malayan pangolin)
Lineage: Eukaryota; Metazoa; Chordata; Mammalia; Pholidota; Manidae
Source: RefSeq, a predicted model, not a curated record
CGGGGGCGGACCCACCUUUCCCAAAGCGCAUGCGCACUGGCUAGACCGUCCUGUCACUCAGCCGUGAGCCGGCAUCCCAUUGGCUUCAACGGCUCGCGCUCUGAAUCCGCGGAAUUUGUCUUCUGAGAGCGCCGCGGAGCUGGGUCGCUGCAGGGGAUCCCAGAGACCCGGACGCAGGACUGUCCCAGGCCGCCGGGAGGCCGGGGAGGCACCCUCCGCCCGAUGAUGCCGCAGCCUCUCGCCCCAUCGCGCCGGCCUCGGGCUUCUAGGCAACUGAAAAAGAGCGAAGAGUAAGACAAAGGCAGUUCAAAUCCUCGAAGCAGAACAGCUAAAAGCAAAGUCAAGGGAAGCAAAUAUAAACGAGAAAGUUUAAUUAAGCAAAACUUAGUUUUUGCAGAGGCAGGGCAAACAACUGGAAUUCAAGGUGAUGGAAUCCAGAAAAGAUAAAACGGAGCAGUUCGGUCCUCCAUGCUGCUGGUGAGUCACUGGAGGAAGGCGCUUUGGAAUGAAGGGAAGACCACCUAGGCCACCGCUGAUGCACCUGUCUCCAAACUCUGAUGGGCCCCUGGACCAAAGGGAAACUUUUGAUUGAAAUAUGCACUCAGGAACAUGCACAGAUUGUAAGUGGACAGCUCAGUGUGUCUACAUCUGCAUAGGCAGCUCCCAGGCAAAGAAUUCAGACGUCACCUGCUCCCCUGAAGUCUUGCCCCUCAUC